RNAcentral lists this ribosomal RNA (465 nucleotides) under uncultured bacterium. RNAcentral's name for it is "partial 16S ribosomal RNA". It matches the Rfam family "Bacterial small subunit ribosomal RNA", at positions 28 to 507 of the family's 1533-position model. The record is from RNAcentral.
GACGAACGCUGGCGGCGUGCUUAACACAUGCAAGUCGAACGGAAAGGCCCCUUUGGGGGUACUCGAGUGGCGAACGGGUGAGUAACACGUGAGUAACCUGCCCUUGACUUCGGGAUAACUUCAGGAAACUUGGGCUAAUACCGGAUAGGAAUCCUUGCUGCAUGGUGGGGGUUGGAAAGCUUCGGCGGUUUUGGAUGGACUCGCGGCUUAUCAGCUUGUUGGUGGGGUAGUGGCUUACCAAGGCUUUGACGGGUAGCCGGCCUGAGAGGGGGACCGGCCACAUUGGGACUGAGAUACGGCCCAGACUCCUACGGGAGGCAGCAGUGGGGAAUAUUGCACAAUGGGCGGAAGCCUGAUGCAGCAACGCCGCGUGCGGGAGGACGGCCUUCGGGUUGUAAACCGCUUUCAGCAGGGGCGAAGCUUGUGGUGACGGUACCUUCAGAAGAAGCACCGGCUAACUACGUG